Molecule: long non-coding RNA, 1250 nt
Organism: Brassica rapa (field mustard)
Lineage: Eukaryota; Viridiplantae; Streptophyta; Magnoliopsida; Brassicales; Brassicaceae
Source: RefSeq, a predicted model, not a curated record
UUGUGAUUUUAAAAUUCAAUCUAACAAUCUGUAGAGCAUCAUUACUCAUUGGUUUUCUAUAAAUGGGUUUUUAACCCUUAUAUAUUAGCAUUUUAAAGUAGUUUAAUUAUUAAAUAAUAGAAUUUUAAGCUUACAAAAUAACUUUACCACUUAAAAAUAAACAUGUGGCACACUAACCUAUUAAUAGAUUUUGGAAACUCUCUCAUAUAAGAAUACUAGUGGUAUUCCGGCGCUACGCGCCGGGUUUGUAUGUUUUAUUUUUACAUGAAUUUACAACUGACUAUGAUGUCAUUUGUACUUUGUUGUAUAAGUAGAAUGGUUUUGCUUGCCAAGCAAGUGGUGUUUUUAAAAUUUAUGUUGAAUUAUGGCCCCCCAAAUUUAGGUAGCUGGGCGUCGUAUAUCGUUGAGGUUUUGACGUUAGUUUGUGGACUUCUGGUUGAGUUGAGUUGUUGCUUUUGUUAAUAAGAAUGAAAACAAUUGAGUUAGGACAUUAUGUUUAUGGAGUUUAUUUAAUUUUUAUGGGCCGUACCAUAAAGAGUGUGUAUCGACUCAUAUUUCUGAAAAAUGCUGGACCUUUGAGUAUUAUAUGUCAUAUUGAAGAAAUUGUUAUAUAAGAAUUUAAAAAAAAAAUAAAAUAAAUUAAGUCGGUUGUUCAAAGAAGAUGAAAUAACGUUUUUUUUUUAAAUUGAUUUAUUAUGAUAUUACAAUUAAGAUAAAAUAAAGUCUAUGCAUUCAAAUAGUUUUGCUUCUGAAAUUAAAGUUCUCUUUUUUAAAAAAAUUUAAAAUUUUGCAGCUUUUCAUCUAAGUCUCAGUUUCCUUCUAUACUUAACCAUGUGUACAAAAAGUGAAAUCGAAGCUAACUCAAAGUACCAUUCUCAUAUUUCAAUCAAAUGUCAGCUUCUUUGGCUGCGGCAGCAGUAUCAGCAACAACACAGCUAUAAAGUGCGUCACUGUUUGCGAUGGAGUUGUGGGCUAAACUUGUCUUCUUAUCUCCUACUCAAGACUAUAUAUGUUCCAGCAGUGUUCGACAAUAUCUAUGCAAAUGAUGUAGUCAAUGGCAAAACUGUCAAAUAUUGGUCUUUGGGAUACUGCUCGUAAAAAAAAUUCGUCACUUCAGUCUUGUUCUUCUAUCAGGUUUGUAUUCUCAGCAUUGUGUCAAAUUCUAAUCUUUUGAUCCUUUAGGAGAAAUGAUGACUUUGUUUCUCAACAAUCUAGAAGUUUCUAGGUAUUUUAAAAAGAAUGGAUCUUUA